AGAAUCAACGCUGGCGGCGUGCCUCAGACAUGCAAGUCGAACGAUUAAACUUUCCUUCGGGAAAGAUAUAAAGUGGCGCACGGGGUGAGUAACACGUAAGUAAUCUACCUUCGAGUGGGGAAUAACGUCCGGAAACGGACGCUAAUACCGCAUAAUGCAGCGGCAUCGCAAGAUGACAGUUGUUAAAGGAUUUUAUUUCGCUUGAAGAGGAGCUUGCGGCAGUAUUAGCUUGUUGGUAAGGUAACGGCUUACCAAGGCUACGAUCUGUAACCGGUCUAAGAGGACGGUCGGUCACACUGACACUGAAUAACGGGUCAGACUCCUACGGGAGCAGCAGUCGGGAAGUUUUGGCGAAGUGGGACGAAAGCCUAGACCCAGACAACGCCGCGU
Molecule: ribosomal RNA, 390 nt
Filed under: uncultured soil bacterium
Lineage: Bacteria
Description: bacterial SSU rRNA
Rfam family: Bacterial small subunit ribosomal RNA
Source: RNAcentral